Molecule: ribosomal RNA, 253 nt
Filed under: uncultured bacterium
Lineage: Bacteria
Description: partial 16S ribosomal RNA
Rfam family: Bacterial small subunit ribosomal RNA
Source: RNAcentral
UACAGAGGGUGCGAGCGUUGUUCGGAAUUACUGGGCGUAAAGCGCGUGUAGGCUGCUCAGAAAGUCGGAUGUGAAAGCCCUGGGCUUAACCUGGGAAGUGCAUUCGAAACUUCUGAGCUUGAGUUCUGGAGAGGAAGGCGGAAUUCUCGGUGUAGAGGUGAAAUUCGUAGAUAUCGAGAGGAACACCGGUGGCGAAGGCGGCCUUCUGGACAGUGACUGACGCUGAGACGCGAAAGCGUGGGGAGCAAACAGG